CACAGAGAGUCAAGAUGUAACGCCAUGGGGUAGGAAGCCCGGAACUAUUCUCUGAGAACUGAGUUUGAUUCUGAUCCCCAUGCCAAUGACUCCAGCUCCAUAGAUGCCCCUCCUCCAUCUUCUGGCAUCCACAAACAUCUGCACUUCUGUAAAUAAGGGGGUCUAUGCAGGUGUCCAGGAAGGCAGUGAACCACAAAGUGCUCAGAAUUACAACUUGAUUAAGAUUGAUUUUGUGACCCUGGAUCAAGCUUAAGGAUCCUGGCCCAUGGGAUGAUGUCACCUGCAUUCAGCAUGGGACUUCCCUCUUCUAAAAUACCCUCAGUACUAUCCACUGACCUGUUGCUGAGGCUCAAAAUCCCAAA
Mesocricetus auratus (golden hamster) is the source of this 362-nucleotide long non-coding RNA. RefSeq lists it as uncharacterized. Lineage: Eukaryota; Metazoa; Chordata; Mammalia; Rodentia; Cricetidae. The record is from RefSeq and is a predicted model, not a curated record. The transcript is spliced from 3 exons.